Molecule: long non-coding RNA, 494 nt
Filed under: Cricetulus griseus (Chinese hamster)
Lineage: Eukaryota; Metazoa; Chordata; Mammalia; Rodentia; Cricetidae
Description: lncRNA (ENSCGRG00015034344.1)
Source: RNAcentral
UGAGAACCCUCCAGAGUGGGACCUAUAAGGAACAGAUGCAUUAGAAGAAACUACUGGUGUUCAGGAAGAUUGAAAGUGGUAAAGGAUGGUCAACCUCAUGAGCUGCCUGCUAAAAUUCAGCCAUGACUAUCAAUCACAAGCUGCAUGUGGAGUCCAAACAUCACCUGCCAUGGGGGAAAGGCUUUGGCAGUCAUUAGCAUCGGUGUGGUAAGGUACAGCCAAUCCUCAGAGCUAUCUGUGAGGAAUCACCAAUAGUUCAAAACAAAGAGACAGACAGACUAGCUAUAGAUUAACAUCAGGAGAAUCAGGUAAAAUGUACUCCAGAUUUGCCUUAUGAAAAAGGCCUACCUACAGUUUGGUGUAUACCAUGGUGCUAUACCUCUAAUCUCCUUGAAUGCAUAGACUACAUGAGUACUGGAUGUUAAAAAGAUUCUGGUGAUGUUGAUGAAGAAGUUCUUCCUUGGUUAGUAAUGAAGACUUGGGCAUGUUCCAAC